UACGGAGGAUCCGAGCGUUAUCCGGAUUUAUUGGGUUUAAAGGGUGCGCAGGCGGAAUAUUAAGUCGGCGGUGAAAGUUUGCAGCUUAACUGUAAAAUUGCCGUUGAUACUGGUAUUCUUGAGUGUAUAUGAAGUAGGCGGAAUUUGUAGUGUAGCGGUGAAAUGCAUAGAUAUUACAAGGAACUCCGAUUGCGAAGGCAGCUUACUAAACCAUAACUGACACUGAAGCACGAAAGCGUGGGUAUCAAACAGGAUUAGAUACCUCCGUAGU
Molecule: ribosomal RNA, 271 nt
Filed under: uncultured prokaryote
Description: partial 16S ribosomal RNA
Rfam family: Bacterial small subunit ribosomal RNA
Source: RNAcentral